RNAcentral lists this ribosomal RNA (520 nucleotides) under uncultured bacterium. RNAcentral describes it as "bacterial SSU rRNA". It matches the Rfam family "Bacterial small subunit ribosomal RNA", at positions 63 to 507 of the family's 1533-position model. The record is from RNAcentral.
CGAACGGAUUUGUGAGGUGUGAGGUUAGAGGUUAGAGGUGAGAAAUUCUAAGGAAGAAAUCGGCGCAGGCCGAUUUCAACAAGAUUCUCACAUCCAACUUCUCACCUCGCACUUCGCAAAUUAGUGGCGGACGGGUGAGUAACGCGUGGGCAACCUGCCUUCCACUGGGGGAUAACACAGGGAAACCUGUGCUAAUACCGCAUGACAUCACAUAGGGCAUCCUGUGUGAUCAAAGGAGUGAUCCGGUGGAAGAUGGGCCCGCGUCCGAUUAGCUAGUUGGUGAGGUAACGGCUCACCAAGGCGACGAUCGGUAGCCGGACUGAGAGGUUGGCCGGCCACAUUGGGACUGAGACACGGCCCAGACUCCUACGGGAGGCAGCAGUGGGGAAUAUUGCGCAAUGGGGGGAACCCUGACGCAGCGACGCCGCGUGAAGGAAGAAGGCCUUCGGGUUGUAAACUUCUUUGAUGAGGGACGAAGGAAGUGACGGUACCUCAAAAACAAGCCACGGCUAACUACGUG